Molecule: ribosomal RNA, 418 nt
Filed under: uncultured Glomeromycotina
Lineage: Eukaryota; Fungi; Glomeromycota
Description: SSU rRNA
Rfam family: Eukaryotic small subunit ribosomal RNA
Source: RNAcentral
UGUACUGGUCUCACUGAUUCCUCCUUCCUGAUGAGCCGUAAUGCCAUUAAUUUGGUGUUGCGGGGAAUUUGGACUGUUACUUUGAAAAAAUUAGAGUGUUUAAAGCAAGCUAACGCUUGAAUACAUUAGCAUGGAAUAAUGAAAUAGGACGUUCGAUCCUAUUUUGUUGGUUUCUAGGAUUGACGUAAUGAUUAAUAGGGAUAGUUGGGGGCAUUAGUAUUCAAUUGUCAGAGGUGAAAUUCUUGGAUUUAUUGAAGACUAACUACUGCGAAAGCAUUUGCCAAGGAUGUUUUCAUUAAUCAAGAACGAAAGUUAGGGGAUCGAAGACGAUCAGAUACCGUCGUAGUCUUAACCAUAAACUAUGCCGACUAGGGAUCGGAUGAUGUUAAUUUUUUAAUGACUCAUUCGGCGCCUUACG